This 1117-nucleotide long non-coding RNA is filed under the name Medicago truncatula (barrel medic). RNAcentral describes it as "long non-coding RNA (MTRU_LNC005757)". The record is from RNAcentral. Lineage: Eukaryota; Viridiplantae; Streptophyta; Magnoliopsida; Fabales; Fabaceae.
GCUUCUGAUUUAUUUUCAUAAGUUCUCCUAAGCUCAAACAACAUUGCACUAAGUAACUUGUUAUUAGAAAAGCCUCAGGAUGUCUAGUAAGUGUUACUAAGCCAAGAUCUCUGUAAAUCUACUAGCACUAAUUCACUCUCCAGACGUCUAGUCCUGGGCGUGAUGGAGGGGGUAUUGAGAUCCUUAUUAUUCCACCCACAUUAGUCCAUACUUCAGAUAUUCAAUCAUGAAUGUGAUGCAGUAUUUUGACAGUCCCAAAUCUACUAAAGAUAUGGCUUUGGAAGUUCUUAUAAGGUUAGGGUAUUCCUUGCCUAUUAAGCCAAUUUUGUGAGGAUGACUUAGGCUUGAGCCCAAAUUCAAAGAAUAUCGAUACCAACAAGGGUCUGUUAGAUGCUACUACAGAAGAUAAUAUACCAAUCCUUAAACAAAGAAACAAACCAUGAUAUAUAAGGAAAUAUCGAAAACAAUCUUCAGAUUAUCUACAUUACUCUAAAAUAAAAUCAAGAUAUUAUCACAUGUUUUAACAUAUUAUACUGUUUAGGAGGUUGUCAAAGAAAACAUAUUAUACCGUUUAGGAGGUUUUCAAAGAAAAUCAAAUAUCAUGCAAUAAACUUGUUGAAAAUUUGGAGCCUAACUCAUCCUUACAAAACCGGUCUGUUAGAUGCUACUACAAAAGAUAAUAUACCAAUCCUUAAACAAAGAAACAAACCAUGAUAUAUAAGGAAAUAUCGAAAAAAAUCUUCAGAUUAUCUACAUUACUCUAAAAUAAAAUCAAGAUAUUAUCACAUGUAUUAACAUAUUAUACUGUUUCGGAGGUUUUCAAAGAAAAUCAAAUAUCAUGCAAUAAACUUGUUGAAAAUUUGGAGCCUAACUCAUCCUUACAAAACCGGCUUGUAAGGUGAGGAGUGUGUCCUCUUUAUAAACUCUGAUCAAGCUUCCUAUCUAACCAAUGUGGGACUAAAUCCACCCCCUCAAAGACAAGCCAACAUAAGGCAACUAGGGGCAGAUCGCAAUUAAGGUGGCACACCCCCUCACGCUCGGGGCGGGAUUUCCAACAAAACUUAUUAAAAAUUUAAGAUAUUGUCAACAAAAAAAAUAAAAUUAAGAUAAAUAAUAG